Molecule: long non-coding RNA, 74 nt
Filed under: Bos grunniens (domestic yak)
Lineage: Eukaryota; Metazoa; Chordata; Mammalia; Artiodactyla; Bovidae
Description: lncRNA (ENSBGRG00000014036.1)
Source: RNAcentral
AGCCCCCCUACUACGAUCUGGGGGCCUCCCCCUCCUACCACCCCUUGCCUUCCCUCCCCAGGCUCUGCUCAUGG